AAAUAUUAUAGAGUAAUUACUAACUAAAAUCUAUCACAAUUGGAUGAAGAUAUUAAGUAUAUAUCUAUAUUUAACAAACGAGAGGUACCUUAUGGUAAUAGUUUUGUAGCAAUGUAGUCUUAUUUUUUGUUCAUUAGAGACUCCACAUUAGUUCCCACGGGACAAGCUAGAAAAAAACAGAGAAAUUCUCAUAAAAAUUAAAAACAUCAAACACCAAUCCUGUAAACUCUAAUAAUCAUAGCCAUUGAUCUAUUAUAUUUUCUAAAAAGUUACCCACCACUAUUAUUGUGAAAAUAUUCAAAAAUAAGCUCUAAACCUAUAUCUAAAUUAUCGAGCUCAGCUAUUAUAAAACAUAAUCUAAAAGUAACCCCAUAAUCUUCAUCCAAUUUACUAAUACACAUCAUUAUAAAGCAUAACUUAAAAUGUCAUUCUAAAUUUUAUAUAUAUUACCCCACUAUGUCGUUAUUAAAAAUAACCUAAAGUAAAC
RNAcentral lists this long non-coding RNA (487 nucleotides) under Setaria viridis. RNAcentral's name for it is "long non-coding RNA (SVIR_LNC010340)". Lineage: Eukaryota; Viridiplantae; Streptophyta; Magnoliopsida; Poales; Poaceae. The record is from RNAcentral.